CAGGAUGGUCUCGAUCUCCUGACCUCGUGAUCUGCCCACCUUGGCCUCCCAAAGUGCUGGGAUUACAGGCAUGAGCCAUCACGCCCAGCCAAAAGGAAAUUUUUAAAAGUGGCAAAUGGAUUAUGAACAUCUUAUUCAGAAAUAAAGGUAAAGAACAGCUAAAAAGGCAAAAGCAGUUGGCUUCUGGGGAAGGUGGGGCAGGGGACUUUUUGAAGCCUUAAUAUUUGCUUUGUUAAACCAUGUUCUUGCAUUAUUAAGUUUUUUCAUGCUAACAACUCUAUUUUGUCAAGCCAGAUUAUGAUGGCUUAACAUGAGUGAACCUUCCAGCUUCUCAUCAGAUGCAAAUCUGACAGGAAUAGGGACUUGUGUUACUUUAUGGCAGGUAAAUAGCACCCUUGAGAUACAAAAUUGGGAUGGUUUCGGGCCUGGUGGUGCCUGUCUGUAGUCUCAGCUACUAGGGAGGCUGAGGUGCAAAGAUUGAGCGCAGGAGUUCCAAGGCCAGCCUGGCCAACGUAGUGAGACCUGACCUGUCUGAAACAUAUACCCGCCCACCCCCACCCCCACCAAAACAGGGAUGGUUCUUCCUGUCCCCUUAAGGAGACAUGACACCAAAGGAGAAAGUACUUGGAUAGUGAUGAGUGAAUUGAGCAUUUUAUUACUGCUUUCAUUUUUGUUUUGUCACAGCUAACAGGGAGGUUGAGUACUCUGUCCACUGGGGGCUGGUGCUUCCAUUGAGGGUUGUGUGUGCCUGCUGAUUUCUUUGAGUUCCUCUAUCCAACAUCAGAAUUGUUUGUAUUCAGAUAUGCGACAAGAUGGGACUUCUGAGUUUCACAGUGUAAGGAAGAUUGACACCUAACCGAGUUUGGGGCUUCCUUUGUACAGUUGACCAUUGAACAACAAGGGUUUGAACUGUUGUGCAGUUUCACUUAUACAUGGACUUAUAGAUGGAUUUUCUUCUGCCUCUGCUGCCCUGAGACAGCCAGACCAACCCCUCCUCCUACUUUUCCUCAGCCUAUUCAACAUAAAUACUAUCGGGAUGAACACCUUUAUGAUGAUUCACUUCUUAAUUUUUUUUUUUUUUUUUUUGAGAGGGAGUCUUGCUCUGUCACCCAGGCUGGAGUGCUGUGAUGGGAUCUCGGCUCACUGCAACCUCUGCCUCUUGGGUCCAAGCAAAUCUCCUGUCUCAGCCUUCUGAGUAGCUGGAACUGUAGACACACGCCAACCAUGCCCAGAGACAGAGUUUCACCAUGUUGGCCAGGCUGGUCUCAAACUGCUGACCUCAGGCGAUCCACCACCUUGGCCGCCCAAAGUGCUGGGAUUACAGGUACAGUCGUGAGCCACUGUGCCCAGUCUGACAAUGUACUUUUGAUAACUGAUGGUUACAAUGUUCCCAUCGCUGCAAUCAAAAUACAGAACAUUU
Chlorocebus sabaeus (green monkey) is the source of this 1420-nucleotide non-coding RNA. The record is from RefSeq and is a predicted model, not a curated record. NCBI's taxonomy places the organism in Eukaryota, Metazoa, Chordata, Mammalia, Primates, Cercopithecidae.